AGGGCUGGCUGCGCCGAGCCCCCUGCGCGCGACACAUGGGGCGCCUGACGGAGGCGGCGGCAGCGGGCAGCGGCGCUCGGGCUGCAGGCUGGGCAGGGUCCCGUCCCACGCUCCUGCCGCUCUCUCCCACCUCCGCCGGGUGCGCGGCCACCAUGGCGUCCAGCGACGAGAACGGCACCAACGGCGGCGCCUCGGAGGCCGGCGAGGACCGGGAGGCUCCCGGCAAGCGGAGGCGCCUGGGGUUCUUGGCCACCGCCUGGCUCACCUUCUACAACAUCGCCAUGACCGCGGGGUGGUUGGUUCUAGCUAUUGCCAUGGUACGUUUUUAUAUGGAAAAAGGAACACACAGAGGUUUAUAUAAAAGUAUUCAGAAGACACUUAAAUUUUUCCAGACAUUUGCCUUGCUUGAGGUAAGUUUUCCAUCAUGCUGUUUUUCUAUUGCUGUAAUAUUUAUGUGAACAUUUUUUGUUGUGCAAAAUCAAUAUGAUUUUGCUGAUUACAUACCACCUAUGGAUUUGCUUAAUACCAAUGUUGACAGUGGUUUAUUUAAUGUUUUCUAUUAUUGAUGUAAUGAUUUUUUUUCUAUUUGCUUACAGAUAGUUCACUGUUUAAUUGGUGAGUUUUUGCUUUAAUUUUAUACUUUUAUUAUAAAUUGCCUUUAGGGCAAUAGUUGACUUGUUUUUCUUUUUAAGGAAUUGUACCUACUUCUGUGCUUGUGACUGGGGUCCAAGUGAGUUCAAGAAUCUUUAUGGUGUGGCUCAUUACUCACAGUAUAAAACCAGUAAGUGACACAAACAUGUUGUCUACUUGAGCCUGCAGGAAAGCUUUCCAUUCAUAGGAAUCUAAAAUAUUAACAUUUGUAUAUUUCAGGAAGUGGAAGCAUUGGACAAAAAGGAGUUGGUUUUGAGUUUUAGAUAUUGUGCAUUGACUUAGUACCUUAGCAGAAUGACUUUGAAACACAAACAAACCCAAAUAUUGGCAUCUUAUAUCCAUAAUAUAUUCUCCUUUGAUAUUUUCCAGUUUUUGAAAUUAGUAUCCAGAUUCUGUCAAAUAACCUGCAGAAAAUGUUCUUUUCUACAGAAUUUCUUUUCAGUCUAAGUUGUCCUCUUUGAUUAUGUCAUCAAAGUUGUCAGUAUACAAUUUAUUAUUUCUUGCCAGGCGCAGUGGCCCACACCUGUAAUCCCAGCACUUUGGGAGGCCAAGGCGGGUGGUUUGAGACCAGCCUGGCCAACAUGGUGAAACCCUGUCCCUACUAAAAAUACAAAAAUUAGCCAGGCAUGGUGGCGAGUGCCUGUAAUCCCAGCUACUCUGGAGGCUGAGGCAGAAGAAUCGCUUGAACCCGACAGGCAGAGGUUGCAGUGAGCUGAGAUUGUGCCACUGCACUCCAGCCUGGUUGACAGAGCAAGACUCCGUCUC
RNAcentral lists this small RNA (1416 nucleotides) under Pongo abelii (Sumatran orangutan). RNAcentral describes it as "retained intron". Lineage: Eukaryota; Metazoa; Chordata; Mammalia; Primates; Hominidae. The record is from RNAcentral.